GACGAACGCUGGCGGCGUGCUUAACACAUGCAAGUCGAACGGAAAGGCCCCCUUGUGGGGUACUCGAGUGGCGAACGGGUGAGUAACACGUGAGUAACCUACCCUUGACUUUGGGAUAACUUCAGGAAACUGGGGCUAAUACCGGAUAGGAGCUCCUGCUGCAGGGUGGGGGUUGGAAAGUUUCGGCGGUUGGGGAUGGACUCGCGGCUUAUCAGCUUGUUGGUGGGGUAGUGGCUCACCAAGGCUUUGACGGGUAGCCGGCCUGAGAGGGUGACCGGCCACAUUGGGACUGAGAUACGGCCCAGACUCCUACGGGAGGCAGCAGUGGGGAAUAUUGCACAGUGGGCGGAAGCCUGAUGCAGCAACGCCGCGUGCGGGAUGACGGCCUUCGGGUUGUAAACCGCUUUCGCCUGUGACGAAGCGUGAGUGACGGUAAUGGGUAAAGAAGCACCGGCUAACUACGUG
RNAcentral lists this ribosomal RNA (465 nucleotides) under uncultured bacterium. Its description in RNAcentral is "partial 16S ribosomal RNA". It matches the Rfam family "Bacterial small subunit ribosomal RNA", at positions 28 to 507 of the family's 1533-position model. The record is from RNAcentral.